AUGAAAAAGAAAUGCAAACAAGCAAAAUGGCUGUCUGGGGAGGCCUUACAAAUAGCUGUGAAAAGCAAAGAAGAAAAGGAAAGAUAUAAGCAUCUGAAUGCAGUGUUCCAAAGAAUAGCAAGAAGAGAUAAGAAAGCCUUCCUCAGCAAUCAAUGCAAAGAAAUAGAGGAAAACAACAGAAUGGGAAAGACCAUCCCCAUGGAAAAGAAAUGCAAAAAAGCAAAAUGGCUGUCUGGGGAGGCCUUACAAAUAGCUGUGAAAAGAAGAGAAGCAAAAAGCAAAGGAGAAAAGGAAAGAUAUAAGCAUCUGAAUGCAGUGUUCCAAAGAAUAGCAAGAAGAGGUAAAAAAAAAAAAAAAAAAACCUUCCUCAGCAAUCAAUGCAAAGAAAUAGAGGAAAACAACAGAAUGGGAAACACUAGAGGUCUCUUCAAGAAAAUGAGAGAUACCAAGGGAACAUUUCAUGCAAAGAUGGGCUCGAUAAAGGACAGAAAUGGUAUGGACCUAACAGAAGCAGAAGAUAUUAAGAAGAGGUGGCAAGAAUACACAGAAGAACUGUACAAAAAAGAUCUUCACAACCCAGAUAAUCACAAUAGUGUGAACACUGACCUAGAGCCAGAUAUCCUGGAAUGCAAAGUCAAGUGGGCCUUAGAAAGCAUCACUAUGAACAAAGCUAGUGGAGGUGAUGGAAUUCCAGUUGAGCUAUUUCAAAUCCUGAAAGAUGAUGCUGUGAAAGUACUACAUUCAAUAUGCCAGCAAAUUUGGAAAACUCAGCAGUGGUCACAGGACUGGAAAAGGUCAGUUUUCAUUCCAAUGCCAAAGAAAGGCAAUGCCAAAGAAUGCUCAAACUACUGCACAAUUGCACUCAUCUCACAUGCUAGUAAAGUAAUGCUCAAAAUUCUCCAAGCCAGGCUUCAGCAAUACAUGAACCGUGAACUUCGAGAUGUUCAAGCUUGUUUUAGAAAAGGCAAAGGAACCAGAGAUCAAAUUGCCAACAUCCGCUGGCUCAUCAAAAAAGCAAGAGAGUUCCAGAAAAACAUCUAUUUCUGCUUUAUUGACUAUGCCAAAGCCUUUGACUGCAUGGAUCACAAUAAACUGUGGAAAAUUCUGAAAGAGAUGGAAAUACCAGACCACCUGACCUGCCUCUUGAGAAACCUAUAUGCAGGUCAGGAAGCAACAGUUAGAACUGGACAUGGAACAACAGACUGGUUCCAAAUAGGAAAAGGAGUACAUCAAGGCUGUAUAUUGUGA
RNAcentral lists this long non-coding RNA (1248 nucleotides) under Bos indicus x Bos taurus (hybrid cattle). RNAcentral describes it as "lncRNA (ENSBIXG00000026150.1)". Lineage: Eukaryota; Metazoa; Chordata; Mammalia; Artiodactyla; Bovidae. The record is from RNAcentral.